UCCGGUAUAGUUCAAGGGCAGAACGCUGGGCUGUUAACUCAGAUGUUGUAGGUUCGAAUCCUGCUACCGGAGCCA
Molecule: transfer RNA, 75 nt
Filed under: Acidithiobacillus thiooxidans
Lineage: Bacteria; Pseudomonadati; Pseudomonadota; Acidithiobacillia; Acidithiobacillales; Acidithiobacillaceae
Description: tRNA-Asn
Rfam family: tRNA
About the family: Transfer RNA (tRNA) molecules are approximately 80 nucleotides in length. Their secondary structure includes four short double-helical elements and three loops (D, anti-codon, and T loops).
Source: RNAcentral